GAUGAACGCUGGCGGCGUGCCUAAUACAUGCCAGUCGAGCGAACAGACGAGGAGCUUGCUCCUCUGACGUUAGCGGCGGACGGGUGAGUAACACGUGGAUAACCUACCUAUAAGACUGGGAUAACUUCGGGAAACCGGAGCUAAUACCGGAUAAUAUAUUGAACCGCAUGGUUCAAUAGUGAAAGACGGUUUUGCUGUCACUUAUAGAUGGAUCCGCGCCGCAUUAGCUAGUUGGUAAGGUAACGGCUACCAAGGCAACGAUGCGUAGCCGACCUGAGAGGGUGAUCGGCCACACUGGAACUGAGACACGGUCCAGACUCCUACGGGAGGCAGCAGUAGGGAAUCUUCCGCAAUGGGCGAAAGCUUGACGGAGCAACGCCGCGUGAGUGAUGAAGGUCUUCGGAUCGUAAAACUCUGUUAUUAGGGAAGAACAAAUGUGUAAGUAACUAUGCACGUCUUGACGGUACCUAAUCAGAAAGCCACGGCUAACUACGUG
Molecule: ribosomal RNA, 496 nt
Filed under: uncultured bacterium
Lineage: Bacteria
Description: partial 16S ribosomal RNA
Rfam family: Bacterial small subunit ribosomal RNA
Source: RNAcentral